AUAAUGGGUCAGCGACUUAUAUUCUGUAGCAAGGUUAACCGAAUAGGGGAGCCGAAGGGAAACCGAGUCUUAACUGGGCGUUAAGUUGCAGGGUAUAGACCCGAAACCCGGUGAUCUAGCCAUGGGCAGGUUGAAGGUUGGGUAACACUAACUGGAGGACCGAACCGACUAAUGUUGAAAAAUUAGCGGAUGACUUGUGGCUGGGGGUGAAAGGCCAAUCAAACCGGGAGAUAGCUGGUUCUCCCCGAAAGCUAUUUAGGUAGCGCCUCGUGAAUUCAUCUCCGGGGGUAGAGCACUGUUUCGGCAAGGGGGUCAUCCCGACUUACCAACCCGAUGCAAACUGCGAAUACCGGAGAAUGUUAUCACGGGAGACACACGGCGGGUGCUAACGUCCGUCGUGAA
This 402-nucleotide ribosomal RNA is filed under the name Escherichia coli. RNAcentral's name for it is "partial 23S ribosomal RNA". It matches the Rfam family "Bacterial large subunit ribosomal RNA", at positions 612 to 1014 of the family's 2925-position model. Lineage: Bacteria; Pseudomonadati; Pseudomonadota; Gammaproteobacteria; Enterobacterales; Enterobacteriaceae. The record is from RNAcentral.